GGAAUAUUGGACAAUGGGCGCAAGCCUGAUCCAGCCAUGCCGCGUGUGUGAAGAAGGCCUUCGGGUUGUAAAGCACUUUCAGCGGGGAGGAAGGGUGUUGUGUUAAUAGCACAGCAUUUUGACGUUACGCGCAGAAGAAGCACCGGCUAACUCCGUGCCAGCAGCCGCGGUAAAACGUAGGAGGCGAGCGUUAUCCGGAUUCACUGGGCGUAAAGCGCGUGCAGGCGGUUUGGUAAGUUGGGCGUGAAAGCUCCCGGCUCAACUGGGAGAGGUCGUCCAAAACUACCAGACUAGAGAGCGAUAGAGGAAAAUGGAAUUCCCGGUGUAGUGGUGAAAUGCGUAGAUAUCGGGAGGAACACCAGUGGCGAAGGCGAUUUUCUGGAUCGUUUCUGACGCUCAGACGCGAAAGCUAGGGUAGCAAA
RNAcentral lists this ribosomal RNA (422 nucleotides) under uncultured bacterium. RNAcentral describes it as "bacterial SSU rRNA". It matches the Rfam family "Bacterial small subunit ribosomal RNA", at positions 358 to 772 of the family's 1533-position model. The record is from RNAcentral.